This 120-nucleotide ribosomal RNA is filed under the name uncultured bacterium. RNAcentral describes it as "partial 16S ribosomal RNA". It matches the Rfam family "Bacterial small subunit ribosomal RNA", at positions 215 to 334 of the family's 1533-position model. The record is from RNAcentral.
UCACCUGAAGAUGAGUCCGCGGCCCAUCAGCUAGUUGGCGGGGUAAUGGCCCACCAAGGCUACGACGGGUAGCUGGUCUGAGAGGACGAUCAGCCACACUGGGACUGAGACACGGCCCAG